RNAcentral lists this ribosomal RNA (257 nucleotides) under uncultured bacterium. RNAcentral describes it as "partial 16S ribosomal RNA". It matches the Rfam family "Bacterial small subunit ribosomal RNA", at positions 524 to 776 of the family's 1533-position model. The record is from RNAcentral.
GACGUAGGGCGCAAGCGUUGUCCGGAUUUAUUGGGCGUAAAGAGCUCGUAGGCGGUCUGUCGCGUCUGCUGUGAAAACUCGGGGCUUAACCCCGGGCCUGCAGUGGGUACGGGCAGACUAGAGUGCGGUAGGGGAGACUGGAAUUCCGUGGUGUAGCGGUGAAAUGCGGCAGAUAGUCAGGAGGAACACCGGUGGCGAAGGCGGGUCUCUGGGCCGUAACUGACGCUGGAGGAGCGAAAGCGUCGGGAGCGAACAGG